Molecule: long non-coding RNA, 1456 nt
Filed under: Scleropages formosus (Asian bonytongue)
Lineage: Eukaryota; Metazoa; Chordata; Actinopteri; Osteoglossiformes; Osteoglossidae
Description: lncRNA (ENSSFOG00015029304.1)
Source: RNAcentral
GUUUUCUUUAUGUCCUUCCCCCUAAAAGUGUAAUCUGACCAUUAAUCCUUGUUAAUCCAGAGGCCUGGCGGAGCAACGCCGAGUGCGGACUGGACAACAUGGCGUUCUGGUACCAAAGCGGGCCGGAAAACAUCGGAGAGCCGGUCUGGAGCAUGCUGGACAGCAAGCAUAAGAGAAUGGAGCUGAACAGCACCCUUGUGUGUUUCCAGAGGGAGCAGAACCUGUAGCAGACGGGCUAUGCAGCUGCAGUCACAGUGGACGGAGGUUAGGGAACGAGAGCACAGGGCCUGGGUGCGCAACAGGCAGCUACUCCAGGACUUCCAGAAGGCCCAGGAAACUCUGAAAGACCUGGCUGCUCAAACUGCAGCCAUGGGCACCAUCCGCGUUGAGUAUGAGAAGCAGCUGGAACAGGAGUUCUCUCGAUGGCAGCAGAGGCUGAAUGAGAAGAGGCUGCAGCGCAAGGAGGCGGAGCUGCAUGUAAAAGAUUUUCUGCUGAGACGAGAGGAGAACAGGAGCGACAUUGACAGCGGGCUUCCUGGGCUAGCCCAUUCUCACUCUCCUGCUGGUCCCUCCUACCUCACCAAUACACCCCUUACUCUGCACACUGACCCAGUAAAGAAGAGCAGAGCCUUGAAAAAUACUACAACAGCCUUCCACGAAGAAGACAGUACCCCACACCUGAUCUGGAAUUCCAUGUCGCAUCCCUCCUGGUUGACACAGGUUGAGCCUCAGACAUCUGCUUCACAAGCUCAGACUCUACAUAACAUCAAGGCCAAUGUUUCCAUGGAGGAUAGGCGUUUUCAGGAACAUUCCAGAGCUGGGUACCCUUUCCAACUCCCCCUGCCUUCUCCUGCGAUCCAGCCCUUUGACCCCCGUUGGCUCCUCCCUCCCAUAGAGCCUCUGUCAAGCUGGUAUGGUUUGUACACUGGAUUCCCAGUCAGGCCCCAGUUUACAUCCCUGCAGGUGCCAUGGCCAGGGUUUCCCAGUCUUGAUCCUAGAGCUUGGGGUACAAGCAAAGUGCAAGAACAGGAAGCCAAAGAGGGCAUACACACUUCAUCCAGAAGAUGGGAGUGGGAAGGGAGGGAUGGUGGAGUCCAUCCCCUAGAGGGGAGCAGGUGCCUGAGGAAGAAGAGGUCCAGUGACCAGUCUUCUGAGCUGGAUGUCAGACCAGUGCGUCUGUCCAGUGCUCCUGGGGUCAGCAGUGGGAGAAGCUCGGCCUGCAGUGGUGCCCCAAGCAAGAGUUGCUCCAGGGUGCCAAGGAAGAGGAAAGACAAGACAGGAAAGAUCUCAGAAAGUCACACAGUUCAAAAGGAAAUCUCUUGCAAAGGGUCUGUCUCUACUCCAGUCUAAAUCUUAUGGAUUUUAAAGAUUUAUAAGCAACAAGUUCAAUUACUUGGUAUUUUAAGUCUUAAUACAUUUUCAGAAAUUUGAUUGCAUUGCACUUGGAAACAUUCUG